GACGUAGGGCGCGAGCGUUGUCCGGAUUUAUUGGGCGUAAAGAGCUCGUAGGCGGCUACGCACGUCCGUUGUGAAAUCGCCCGGCUCAACUGGGCGGGGUCAGCGGAUACGGCGCGGCUGGAGCAAGCUAGGGGGCAAUGGAAUUCCCGGUGUAGUGGUGGAAUGCGUAGAUAUCGGGAGGAACACCAGUGGCGAAGGCGGUUGCCUGGAGCUUUGCUGACGCUGAUGCGCGAAAGCGUGGGGAGCGAUCCGG
RNAcentral lists this ribosomal RNA (253 nucleotides) under uncultured bacterium. RNAcentral describes it as "partial 16S ribosomal RNA". It matches the Rfam family "Bacterial small subunit ribosomal RNA", at positions 524 to 776 of the family's 1533-position model. The record is from RNAcentral.